UUUCCGUAGGUGAACCUGCGGAAGGAUCAUUAAAAAAUAUCACUCGAUUGAGAGUGAUUUAAUAAUCAUCCUACCCUUUGUGAAUUUGUUUGUAAUGUUAAAUUUAUGUUGUCUAUCCCUUGGAAAGUUUGUUCAUUUAAACCCCAAGGGAAUAGGCUUUCAUAGACCUUUUUUUUAAAAUUAAACAUUUUGUAUUCAUUUGUCUAAAAUUUAUUUUUAAAAUAAUUUAAAAACAACUUUUGACAAUGGAUCUCUUGGUUCUCGCAACGAUGAAGAACGCAGCAAAAUGCGAUAAGUAAUGUGAAUUGCAGAAUACGUGAAUCAUCAAAUCUUCGAACGCAUAUUGCACUUUUUUAGUUUACUAAAAAAGUAUGUCUGUUUGAGUAUCAGUAAAAUAUUCUCAUAAAAAAAAUUUUUUUUUUUCUAUGGUCAUGAGUGUUUUACAACGAUAAACAAGUUGUUUCACUUUAAAUUGAUUUUAAAAGCCAAUUUUUUUUGGUUUUUAUCUAAUAAAAUUGGAUAAAAUUUUCCCGUAAAAAGGAAUAAACUUUUCAGUUUAAAGGGUAAAAAUUAAAAUAUUAAUUGUUGCUUAAUUUAAAAGGAAAAUUUAAUUUAAAAAUAACUUGAUCUCAAAUCAGAUAAGAGUACCCGCUGAACUUAAGCAUAUCAAUAAGCGGAGGAAAAGAAACUAACAAGGAUUCCCUUAGUAACGGCGAGUGAAGCGGGAAGAGCUCAAAUUUGAAAUCUUCAAGGUUCUACCUUGACGAAUUGUAGUUUAAAGAAGUGUUUUCUGUUAGAGGAGUAGCAAAAGUUCCUUGGAAAGGGACAUCAUAGAGGGUGAGAAUCCCGUAUUUGGUUAUUCUUUCUAGCUUUGUGAUACACUUUCAAAGAGUCGGAUUGUUUGGGAAUGCAGUCCAAAAUGGGUGGUAAAUUUCAUCUAAAGCUAAAUAUUGGCGAGAGACCGAUAGCGAACAAGUACCGUGAGGGAAAGAUGAAAAGAACUUUGAAAAGAGAGUUAAACAGUACGUGAAAUUGUCAAAAGGGAAGCGUUUGACACCAGUGUUGUUUUUCCGAAAAUCAAUUAAGAAGGGCUUGAUUUUGUGUUGUAUUGACCUUAUCAGCUUUCUUCACUCUUUUUCGAGUCUUUCUUAAUGCUCUUUUCGGUUAACAAGUCAACAUCAAUUUCUUUUGUUGUAAAAGGGUAUUUGGAAGGUGGCUUUCUUUUCGGAGAAAGUGUUUAUAGCCUUAUACCCCUACAAUCGGAGAGAUUGAGGUCUGCAGCGUAGAUCCUUCGGGGCUAGAUACACUUGUGCUAAGUUAUAGCUUUUCAUAGACAACUUGUUGACUAUGUUUAGUCAUGUAGCUUACCCGCUUGUGCUAUUU
Molecule: unclassified non-coding RNA, 1383 nt
Filed under: uncultured Neocallimastigales
Lineage: Eukaryota; Fungi; Neocallimastigomycota; Neocallimastigomycetes; Neocallimastigales
Description: partial contains small subunit ribosomal RNA, internal transcribed spacer 1, 5.8S ribosomal RNA, internal transcribed spacer 2, and large subunit ribosomal RNA
Rfam family: Eukaryotic large subunit ribosomal RNA (bases 625-1383)
Source: RNAcentral